CUUGCUACCGAUUGGAAGGUAUUCUGAUCCACGUUUGGUAGGGUCCACAAGAUCCGGUUUCUCCUCGGUUGGUCUGCACACACCCUUGGGCAAGCCAAAACCUUAUCCCAGGGGUCCCACUAAUUCCAACCUUUAGUGCCGGGGUCGGGCGAAACGGAGACCUGCCGCGAGGGGUCGGGCGGGGCAGAGACUGUCCGCGAGGGGUUGGGCGCGUCCGACCUUGCGACUCGAGGUCGGUCAACUUUGGACAGGCCCUCAGGAAACAGGUGUGUGUUCACAGCACCAAAACCCACACAACUUGACAUCCAUGGCGUGUCGCAAAGGGUCAGAAGUCAAGCCAAGAGUGAAAGACAAACAGGAACUGCCUUCGCCAAGAUCAGAUCAUUGCGGGUCUUAAAAUA
Molecule: long non-coding RNA, 401 nt
Filed under: Setaria viridis
Lineage: Eukaryota; Viridiplantae; Streptophyta; Magnoliopsida; Poales; Poaceae
Description: long non-coding RNA (SVIR_LNC010672)
Source: RNAcentral